This 465-nucleotide ribosomal RNA is filed under the name uncultured bacterium. RNAcentral's name for it is "partial 16S ribosomal RNA". It matches the Rfam family "Bacterial small subunit ribosomal RNA", at positions 28 to 507 of the family's 1533-position model. The record is from RNAcentral.
GACGAACGCUGGCGGCGUGCUUAACACAUGCAAGUCGAACGGAAAGGCCCCUUCGGGGGUACUCGAGUGGCGCACGGGUGAGUAACACGUGCGUAACCUGCCCUUGACUUCGGGAUAACUUCAGGAAACUGGGGCUAAUACCGGAUAGGAAUCCUUGCUGCAUGGUGGGGGUUGGAAAGCUUCGGCGGUCUUGGAUGGACUCGCGGCUUAUCAGCUUGUUGGUGGGGUAGUGGCUUACCAAGGCUUUGACGGGUAGCCGGCCUGAGAGGGCGACCGGCCACAUUGGGACUGAGAUACGGCCCAGACUCCUACGGGAGGCAGCAGUGGGGAAUAUUGCACAAUGGGCGGAAGCCUGAUGCAGCAACGCCGCGUGCGGGAUGACGGCCUUCGGGUUGUAAACCGCUUUCAGCAGGGGCGAAGCUUGUGGUGACGGUACCUGCAGAAGAAGCACCGGCUAACUACGUG